RNAcentral lists this ribosomal RNA (423 nucleotides) under uncultured bacterium. Its description in RNAcentral is "bacterial SSU rRNA". It matches the Rfam family "Bacterial small subunit ribosomal RNA", at positions 359 to 775 of the family's 1533-position model. The record is from RNAcentral.
GAAUUUUUCACAAUGGGCGAAAGCCUGAUGGAGCGACGCCGCGUGGGGGAUGAAUGGCUUCGGCCCGUAAACCCCUGUCAUUCGCGAGCAAACGUUAUUAUUUAAAAGAUGAUAGCCUGAUAGUAGCGAAAGAGGAAGGGACGGCUAACUCUGUGCCAGCAGCCGCGGUAAUACAGAGGUCCCAAGCGUUGUUCGGAUUUACUGGGCGUAAAGGGUGCGUAGGUGAUGGGGUAAGUCGGAUGUGAAAUCUCCGAGCUCAACUCGGAAAGUGUAUUGGAAACUACCCUGCUCGAGGGUUGGAGGGGGGACUGGAAUACUUGGUGUAGCAGUGAAAUGCGUAGAUAUCAAGUGGAACACCAGUGGCGAAGGCGAGUCCCUGGACAACUCCUGACACUGAGGCACGAAAGCUAGGGGAGCAAACAG